AGCGACUUAUAUUCUGUAGCAAGGUUAACCGAAUAGGGGAGCCGAAGGGAAACCGAGUCUUAACUGGGCGUUAAGUUGCAGGGUAUAGACCCGAAACCCGGUGAUCUAGCCAUGGGCAGGUUGAAGGUUGGGUAACACUAACUGGAGGACCGAACCGACUAAUGUUGAAAAAUUAGCGGAUGACUUGUGGCUGGGGGUGAAAGGCCAAUCAAACCGGGAGAUAGCUGGUUCUCCCCGAAAGCUAUUUAGGUAGCGCCUCGUGAAUUCAUCUCCGGGGGUAGAGCACUGUUUCGGCAAGGGGGUCAUCCCGACUUACCAACCCGAUGCAAACUGCGAAUACCGGAGAAUGUUAUCACGGGAGACACACGGCGGGUGCUAACGUCCGUCGUGAAGAGGGAAACAACCCAGACCGCCAGCUAAGGUCCCAAAGUCAUGGUUAAGUGGGAAACGAUGUGGGAAGGCCCAGACAGCCAGGAUGUUGGCUUAGAAGCAGCCAUCAUUUAAAGAAAGCGUAAUAGCUCACUGGUCGAGUCGGCCUGCGCGGAAGAUGUAACGGGGCUAAACCAUGCACCGAAGCUGCGGCAGCGACGCUUAUGCGUUGUUGGGUAGGGGAGCGUUCUGUAAGCCUGGAAGGUGUGCUGUGAGGCAUGCUGGAGGUAUCAGAAGUGCGAAUGCUGACAUAAGUAACGAUAAAGCGGGUGAAAAGCCCGCUCGCCGGAAGACCAAGGGUUCCUGUCCAACGUUAAUCGGGGCAGGGUGAGUCGACCCCUAAGGCGAGGCCGAAAGGCGUAGUCGAUGGGAAACAGGUUAAUAUUCCUGUACUUGGUGUUACUGCGAAGGGGGGACGGAGAAGGCUAUGUUGGCCGGGCGACGGUUGUCCCGGUUUAAGCGUGUAGGCUGGUUUUCCAGGCAAAUCCGGAAAAUCAAGGCUGAGGCGUGAUGACGAGGCACUACGGUGCUGAAGCAACAAAUGCCCUGCUUCCAGGAAAAGCCUCUAAGCAUCAGGUAACAUCAAAUCGUACCCCAAACCGACACAGGUGGUCAGGUAGAGAAUACCAAGGCGCUUGAGAGAACUCGGGUGAAGGAACUAGGCAAAAUGGUGCCGUAACUUCGGGAGAAGGCACGCUGAUAUGUAGGUGAAGUCCCUCGCGGAUGGAGCUGAAAUCAGUCGAAGAUACCAGCUGGCUGCAACUGUUUAUUAAAAACACAGCACUGUGCAAACACGAAAGUGGACGUAUACGGUGUGACGCCUGCCCGGUGCCGGAAGGUUAAUUGAUGGGGUUAGCGCAAGCGAAGCUCUUGAUCGAAGCCCCGGUAAACGGCGGCCGUAACUAUAACGGUCCUAAGGUAGCGAAAUUCCUUGUCGGGUAAGUUCCGACCUGCACGAAUGGCGUAAUGAUGGCCAGGCUGUCUCCACCCGAGACUCAGUGAAAUUGAACUCGCUGUGAAGAUGCAGUGUACCCGCGGCAAGACGGAAAGACCCCGUGAACCUUUACUAUAGCUUGACACUGAACAUUGAGCCUUGAUGUGUAGGAUAGGUGGGAGGCUUUGAAGUGUGGACGCCAGUCUGCAUGGAGCCGACCUUGAAAUACCACCCUUUAAUGUUUGAUGUUCUAACGUUGACCCGUAAUCCGGGUUGCGGACAGUGUCUGGUGGGUAGUUUGACUGGGGCGGUCUCCUCCUAAAGAGUAACGGAGGAGCACGAAGGUUGGCUAAUCCUGGUCGGACAUCAGGAGGUUAGUGCAAUGGCAUAAGCCAGCUUGACUGCGAGCGUGACGGCGCGAGCAGGUGCGAAAGCAGGUCAUAGUGAUCCGGUGGUUCUGAAUGGAAGGGCCAUCGCUCAACGGAUAAAAGGUACUCCGGGGAUAACAGGCUGAUACCGCCCAAGAGUUCAUAUCGACGGCGGUGUUUGGCACCUCGAUGUCGGCUCAUCACAUCCUGGGGCUGAAGUAGGUCCCAAGGGUAUGGCUGUUCGCCAUUUAAAGUGGUACGCGAGCUGGGUUUAGAACGUCGUGAGACAGUUCGGUCCCUAUCUGCCGUGGGCGCUGGAGAACUGAGGGGGGCUGCUCCUAGUACGAGAGGACCGGAGUGGACGCAUCACUGGUGUUCGGGUUGUCAUGCCAAUGGCACUGCCCGGUAGCUAAAUGCGGAAGAGAUAAGUGCUGAAAGCAUCUAAGCACGAAACUUGCCCCGAGAUGAGUUCUCCCUGACCCUUUAAGGGUCCUGAAGGAACGUUGAAGACGACGACGUUGAUAGGCCGGGUGUGUAAGCGCAGCGAUGCGUUGAGCUAACCGGUACUAAUGAACCGUGAGGCUUAACCUU
RNAcentral lists this ribosomal RNA (2322 nucleotides) under Escherichia coli 3-073-06_S4_C1. RNAcentral describes it as "bacterial LSU rRNA". It matches the Rfam family "Bacterial large subunit ribosomal RNA", at positions 622 to 2925 of the family's 2925-position model. Lineage: Bacteria; Pseudomonadati; Pseudomonadota; Gammaproteobacteria; Enterobacterales; Enterobacteriaceae. The record is from RNAcentral.